AGUCCAUCACCUUUACCUUCAGCUUCUUUAGCAAGACAGUGGUCGUCUUGGAGGUGUCUUUGGGGUCGUUAUCAUGUUGGAAUACUGCCCUGCAGCCCAGUCUCCGAAAGGAAGGGCUCAUGCUCUGCUUUAGUAUGUCACAGUACAUGUUGGCAUUCAUGGUUUCCUCAAUGCACUGUAGCUUCCCAGUGCCGGCAGCACUCAUGCAGGCCCAGACAAUGACACUCCCACCACCAUGCUUGUCUGUAGGCAAGACACACUUGUCUUUGUACUCCUCACCUGGUUGCCGCCACACACGCUUGACACUAUC
Non-coding RNA from Pelobates cultripes (western spadefoot toad), 310 nucleotides. The record is from the annotation of a GenBank genome assembly. NCBI's taxonomy places the organism in Eukaryota, Metazoa, Chordata, Amphibia, Anura, Pelobatidae.